This 484-nucleotide ribosomal RNA is filed under the name uncultured bacterium. Its description in RNAcentral is "partial 16S ribosomal RNA". It matches the Rfam family "Bacterial small subunit ribosomal RNA", at positions 29 to 507 of the family's 1533-position model. The record is from RNAcentral.
AUUGAACGCUGGCGGCAUGCUUUACACAUGCAAGUCGAACGGCAGCGCGGGCUUCGGCCUGGCGGCGAGUGGCGAACGGGUGAGUAAUACAUCGGAACGUGCCCAGUAGUGGGGGAUAGCUCGGCGAAAGCCGGAUUAAUACCGCAUACGACCUGAGGGUGAAAGCGGGGGAUCUUCGGACCUCGCGCUAUUGGAGCGGCCGAUGGCAGAUUAGCUAGUUGGUGGGGUAAAGGCCUACCAAGGCGACGAUCUGUAGCUGGUCUGAGAGGACGACCAGCCCCCCUGGGACUGAGACACGGCCCAGACUCCUACGGGAGGCAGCAGUGGGGAAUUUUGGACAAUGGGCGAAAGCCUGAUCCAGCAAUGCCGCGUGUGUGAUGAAGGCCUUCGGGUUGUAAAGCACUUUUGGCGGGAACGAAAAGGACUGUGCCAAUACCACGGUUCGAUGACGGUACCCGCAGAAUAAGCACCGGCUAACUACGUG